UGUUGGUUCUCCCGCAACGCUACUAUGUUUACCAGGUCAGGUCCGGAAGGAAGCAGCCAAGGCAGAUGACGCGUGUGCCGGGAUGUAGCUGGCAGGG
Molecule: signal recognition particle RNA, 97 nt
Filed under: Escherichia coli
Lineage: Bacteria; Pseudomonadati; Pseudomonadota; Gammaproteobacteria; Enterobacterales; Enterobacteriaceae
Also listed under: 21 other names
Description: signal recognition particle sRNA small type
Rfam family: Bacterial small signal recognition particle RNA
About the family: The signal recognition particle (SRP) is a universally conserved ribonucleoprotein involved in the co-translational targeting of proteins to membranes. Archaeal SRP consists of a 7S RNA and homologues of the eukaryotic SRP19 and SRP54 proteins.
Source: RNAcentral